This 76-nucleotide transfer RNA is filed under the name Geoalkalibacter subterraneus. RNAcentral describes it as "tRNA-Ala (CGC) (tRNA-Ala-CGC-1-1)". It matches the Rfam family "tRNA". Rfam says of the family: Transfer RNA (tRNA) molecules are approximately 80 nucleotides in length. Their secondary structure includes four short double-helical elements and three loops (D, anti-codon, and T loops). RNAcentral also lists the same sequence under 6 other names. Lineage: Bacteria; Pseudomonadati; Thermodesulfobacteriota; Desulfuromonadia; Desulfuromonadales; Geoalkalibacteraceae. The record is from RNAcentral.
GGGGCUGUAGCUCAGCUGGGAGAGCGAUGCGUUCGCAACGCAUAGGUCGUCGGUUCGAUCCCGAUCAGCUCCACCA